This 460-nucleotide ribosomal RNA is filed under the name uncultured bacterium. RNAcentral's name for it is "partial 16S ribosomal RNA". It matches the Rfam family "Bacterial small subunit ribosomal RNA", at positions 338 to 795 of the family's 1533-position model. The record is from RNAcentral.
CCUACGGGAGGCAGCAGUGAGGAAUAUUGGUCAAUGGGCUUACGCCUGAACCAGCCAAGUCGCGUGAGGGAAGACUGCCCUAUGGGUUGUAAACCUCUUUUGUCAGGGAGCAACGCCGGCUACGUGUAGCCUGACUGAGAGUACCUGAAGAAAAAGCAUCGGCUAACUCCGUGCCAGCAGCCGCGGUAAUACGGAGGAUUCGAGCGUUAUCCGGCUUUAUUGGGUUUAAAGGGUGCGUAGGCGGAAUGCCAAGUCAGCGGUAAAAUCGCGGGGCUCAACCUCGCUCCGCCGUUGAAACUGGCGUUCUUGAGUGGGCGAGAAGUAUGCGGAAUGCGUGGUGUAGCGGUGAAAUGCAUAGAUAUCACGCAGAACUCCGAUUGCGAAGGCAGCAUACCGGCGCCCAACUGACGCUGAAGCACGAAAGCGUGGGUAUCGAACAGGAUUAGAUACCCCAGUAGUC